RNAcentral lists this transfer RNA (85 nucleotides) under archaeon. RNAcentral describes it as "tRNA-Ser". It matches the Rfam family "tRNA". From Rfam's summary of the family: Transfer RNA (tRNA) molecules are approximately 80 nucleotides in length. Their secondary structure includes four short double-helical elements and three loops (D, anti-codon, and T loops). The record is from RNAcentral.
AAGGAGGUGGCUGAGUGGUUAAGGCAACGGAUUGCUAAUCCGUCUUGUUGAAAGACAAGCAUGGGUUCGAAUCCCAUUCUCCUCU